AGCAGUGGAUGCUGAGCUCCUCUGUAGCCAUUGGGAUCUCAGCAGGAGGAGUCUUGAGGCCACUAUCCAAACCUCUCAGCCUGGGCUUUGGUGAAAGCUGGCUUUCUCUUGGGAUUCCCACCCCAGGCUUGAUGGGUUGGAAAUGCUGCAAGAGCAGCCCUUUUUUUGUUGUAUUUGUUUUUAUUCUCCUGAUGUUUGUGUCUUUCCACUUCCGUCCCUGGCCAAGGCAAGUGAUGCCAAGGCACGAGAGGCAGAUACACCCAGCAUGGUUGGGAGGGGGAGGCCUUAACCCACAGGAAAAGGGAAACAGAAGGGAGAACCCAUAGCUGGCACCAAGGAGGCUUAACCCAUAGUCUGUUCUACCCAGCCAUGGUGACCACCAGGAUGCAAAGCCCCAGGGAUGCAUCUCGGCACCGUGUGGGACAAUGCCAGGGGUCUCAAUGCACAGAACCCCCCCUUCACCCCGCUUUGAGCUGCAAUAUGGUCACAAGCUGCCUUAGCAGGAAGGGAUCAAGCACUCAAAAGCAGCGCGGGAUCAAAGCUUUCUAAACACUCAGGGCAUUUGGCUUGGGAGGUUUUGUUCCGUCUAUUUAUAGCGGUGGGGCCAAACGAGUUCAGAGUUGGAAGCAAACUUUUCCGAAGCUGGGGGACGUUUGGAACGGGAGGGGGAAAGGGAACUCGGCCAGGCCCAUCUUCAACAUGCAUUGACUCCUUCCCUUAGGGCAAAGCUGGUGAGGAUUCCAGGGCAGAAAAGAAAGGCCAAGGGCAUCCUGAAGCAUGUGAUAAGCUUAUAAAUGGCGUUUGGCAGCCACGUGGUGAUCUGGGCAUGCAGAGAAGCAGUGCAUAACUUUGGGCAUCCCAACACAAGAGCUGAUAUUUGGCCCCUAUCCGGGAACACGGACCACCUCGCCAAGCUGUUGUUCCUAUUUGUCAUUCAGCGCGAAGGAAAUCUGCUCCAUUCUCUGUCAUCCUCCCCAUCCCAGAGGAUAAUUGAUGCUAACGUCAUUUCAGCUCGGUCCAGCUGCCAGGCUCGGGAACAGAUGUUUUAUUGUUCCAAUUGAGCACAAAACAAAAUGCAACCCCCCCAAAUAAAAUAAAAGCAGCACUGCUCAGCAAAUUUGUGCUUGUGGAGAGGUUAACCACAGCUUCCUCACCCCAGAAAUAACACACAGAGAGAACAGCAGCCCCAGGGAGGGCUUCUAUCAUUCCACUGGGUCAGCACCAAGAGGACCAAGCCACCACGUUCCCCACUUUGCUG
Molecule: non-coding RNA, 1258 nt
Organism: Coturnix japonica (Japanese quail)
Lineage: Eukaryota; Metazoa; Chordata; Aves; Galliformes; Phasianidae
Source: RefSeq, a predicted model, not a curated record